AACGAACGCUGGCGGCAUGCCUAACACAUGCAAGUCGAACGAGACCUUCGGGUCUAGUGGCGCACGGGUGCGUAACGCGUGGGAAUCUGCCCUUGGGUUCGGAAUAACAGCGAGAAAUUGCUGCUAAUACCGGAUGAUGACGUAAGUCCAAAGAUUUAUCGCCCAAGGAUGAGCCCGCGUAGGAUUAGCUAGUUGGUGAGGUAAAGGCCUACCAAGGCGACGAUCCAUAGCUGGUCUGAGAGGAUGAUCAGCCACAUUGGGACUGAGACACGGCCCAAACUCCUACGGGAGGCAGCAGUGGGGAAUAUUGGACAAUGGGCGCAAGCCUGAUCCAGCCAUGCCGCGUGAGUGAUGAAGGCCCUAGGGUUGUAAAGCUCUUUCACCGGUGAAGAUAAUGACGGUAACCGAGAAGAAGCCCCGGCUAACUUCGUGCCAGCAGCCGCGGUAAU
Molecule: ribosomal RNA, 449 nt
Filed under: uncultured bacterium
Lineage: Bacteria
Description: bacterial SSU rRNA
Rfam family: Bacterial small subunit ribosomal RNA
Source: RNAcentral